Phrynosoma platyrhinos (Desert horned lizard) is the source of this 71-nucleotide non-coding RNA. NCBI's taxonomy places the organism in Eukaryota, Metazoa, Chordata, Lepidosauria, Squamata, Phrynosomatidae. The record is from the annotation of a GenBank genome assembly.
GUCAAUAUGGUAUAGUGGUAUGAGUUUGGACUACAACUCUGGAAACCAGGGUUCGAAUCCCUGCUCAGCCA